Molecule: ribosomal RNA, 468 nt
Filed under: uncultured bacterium
Lineage: Bacteria
Description: partial 16S ribosomal RNA
Rfam family: Bacterial small subunit ribosomal RNA
Source: RNAcentral
GACGAACGCUGGCGGCGUGCUUAACACAUGCAAGUCGAACGGACAGUUCCUGCUUUUGUGUGGUGCUCGAGUGGCGAACGGGUGCGUACCACGUGAUUAACCUGCCCUUGCCUUUGUGAUAACUUCGGGAAACUGUGGCUAAUACCGGCUAGGAGCUCCUACUGCUUGGUGGUGGUUGGAAAUUUACGGCGGUUGGGGAUGGACUCGCGGCUUAUCAGCCUGUUGGUGUGGUAGCUGGUUGCCGAGGCUUGGACGGGUAGCCGGCCUGAGACGGAGACCGGCCACAGUGGGACUGAGAUACGGGCCAGACGCCUACGGGAGGCAGCAGUGGGGAACAUUGCACAAUGGGCCGAAGCCGGAUGCAGCAACGCCGCGUGCGGGAUGACGGUCUUCGGGUUGGAAACCGCGUUCGCCUGGGACGAAGCGUGAGUGACGGUAAUGGGUAAAGAAGCAACGGCUAACUACGUG